GGGGUCGGGAGAGAUUUAAAAAGUGCAUGCCUCUAUCUUAUGUGCCUCAUUCAAUUUCAUUAAUGCACAUUCAAUGAUGAUUUUCUCUUCCAUCAAAAUUACCCAAUUCUUUGGAGGAAGGUCAAUUUGUGAUCCAGCCACCACCAAUCACAAGAGCAGAUUUUGAUAAAGUACUUGCAAGACAGAAGCCAACUGUAAGUAAAGCUGAUCUUGAGGUGUAUGAGAGAUUCACGGAGGAGUUUGGGGAAGAAGGCUGAUUGCUUGAGUUUGAACACAAGGACUGAUUAACCAUUUGUACAGGUAAAACCACUAGUACUAUAGGUAAAUGAAAUACGUAUAUAUAGUCAUCAAUAUAGCUUGUAAUAGAAAGUUCAGCAUCUUGUUAAGAGAAAACCGUGCCAUAUUGUUUCAACCUUUCUCUGUCUGUCUCACCAGAAAAGGAAGAGGUGGAAAGCUCUUAAUUGAUGUACAGUGUUACUGGUGAUAGUUUCCAUAAUCAAUAAUGAUUGAUAAUCUUACCAUUUUUUUUCCCA
Long non-coding RNA from Quercus robur (English oak), 533 nucleotides. RefSeq lists it as uncharacterized. Lineage: Eukaryota; Viridiplantae; Streptophyta; Magnoliopsida; Fagales; Fagaceae. The record is from RefSeq and is a predicted model, not a curated record. The transcript is spliced from 2 exons.